AUUGAACGCUGGCGGCAGGCUUAACACAUGCAAGUCGAGCGGAGCGAGGGUGCUUGCACCUUAGCUUAGCGGCGGACGGGUGAGUAAUGCUUAGGAAUCUGCCUAUUAGUGGGGGACAACAUUCCGAAAGGGAUGCUAAUACCGCAUACGCCCUACGGGGGAAAGCAGGGGAUCGUCGGACCUGGCGCUAAUAGAUGAGCCUCGGUCGGAUUAGCUAGUUGGUGGGGUAAAGGCCUACCAAGGCGACGAUCUGUAGCGGGUCUGAGAGGAUGAUCCGCCACACUGGGACUGAGACACGGCCCAGACUCCUACGGGAGGCAGCAGUGGGGAAUAUUGGACAAUGGGCGGAAGCCUGAUCCAGCCAUGCCGCGUGUGUGAAGAAGGCCUUUUGGUUGUAAAGCACUUUAAGCGAGGAGGAGGCUACUAGUAUUAAUACUACUGGAUAGUGGACGUUACUCGCAGAAUAAGCACCGGCUAACUCUGUGCCAGCAGCCGCCGUAA
Molecule: ribosomal RNA, 501 nt
Filed under: uncultured bacterium
Lineage: Bacteria
Description: partial 16S ribosomal RNA
Rfam family: Bacterial small subunit ribosomal RNA
Source: RNAcentral